GACGAACGCUGGCGGCGUGCUUAACACAUGCAAGUCGAACGGAAAGGCCCUGCUUUUGUGGGGUGCUCGAGUGGCGAACGGGUGAGUAGCACGUGAGUAACCUGCCCUUGACUUUGGGAUAACUUCAGGAAACUGGGGCUAAUACCGGAUAGGAGCUCCUGCUGCAUGGUGGGGGUUGGAACGUUUCGGCGGUUGGGGAUGGACUCGCGGCUUAUCAGCUUGUUGGUGGGGUAGUGGCUUACCAAGGCUUUGACGGGUAGCCGGCCUGAGAGGGUGACCGGCCACAUUGGGACUGAGAUACGGCCCAGACUCCUACGGGAGGCAGCAGUGGGGAAUAUUGCACAAUGGGCGGAAGCCUGAUGCAGCAACGCCGCGUGCGGGAUGACGGCCUUCGGGUUGUAAACCGCUUUCGCCUGUGACGAAGCGUGAGUGACGGUAAUGGGUAAAGAAGCACCGGCUAACUACGUG
Molecule: ribosomal RNA, 468 nt
Filed under: uncultured bacterium
Lineage: Bacteria
Description: partial 16S ribosomal RNA
Rfam family: Bacterial small subunit ribosomal RNA
Source: RNAcentral